Molecule: ribosomal RNA, 460 nt
Filed under: uncultured bacterium
Lineage: Bacteria
Description: partial 16S ribosomal RNA
Rfam family: Bacterial small subunit ribosomal RNA
Source: RNAcentral
CCUACGGGGAGCAGCAGUGAGGAAUAUUGGUCAAUGGGCGUAAGCCUGAACCAGCCAAGUCGCGUGAGGGAUGAAGGUUCUAUGGAUCGUAAACCUCUUUUAUAAGGGAAUAAAGUGUGGGACGUGUCCUGUUUUGUAUGUACCUCAUGAAUAAGGAUCGGCUAACUCCGUGCCAGCAGCCGCGGUAAUACGGAAGAUCCGAGCGUUAUCCGGAUUUAUUGGGUUUAAAGGGUGCGUAGGCGGCCUUUUAAGUCAGCGGUGAAAGUCUGUGGCUCAACCAUAGAAUUGCCGUUGAAACUGGGAGGCUUGAGUAUGUUUGAGGCAGGCGGAAUGCGUGGUGUAGCGGUGAAAUGCUUAGAUAUCACGCAGAACCCCGAUUGCGAAGGCAGCCUGCCAAGCCAUGACUGACGCUGAUGCACGAAAGCGUGGGGAUCAAACAGGAUUAGAUACCCCAGUAGUC